RNAcentral lists this long non-coding RNA (1417 nucleotides) under Populus tremula. Its description in RNAcentral is "long non-coding RNA (PTRE_LNC000239)". Lineage: Eukaryota; Viridiplantae; Streptophyta; Magnoliopsida; Malpighiales; Salicaceae. The record is from RNAcentral.
CCUAGUGUUGAUGCAUGCACGACAAGACUCUCAUGCCCAUCCCUUACCACCACACAACCUCUCUCUAUGGACCCACUAUCUUCAUCUUUUUCUCUCCACCAAAACAAUCAUUACAGCUACCACUAAUCUCUCUCUUCCUCCAUAACCAAACUCACAAUCCCAUUCCUUUCAUCUUUUUACUUGGGCUCCGUUUAUUUACAGGAAAGUGAAUUUUUUUUGGAAAGUGAAUUCUGGAGAAAGUGAAUUUCUGAAAAGUAAAUUCCGGAAAAGUAUUUUCCGAUGUUUGGUAGUGUUAUGGAAAAUGAACUGGAAAACACUUUCCAGUGUUUGGUUGUAUUAUGGAAAAUGAACUGGAAAAUAAUUUAUUAAUGAAUUGAUUUUUUUUUCAAAUUUAUCUAAUAUAUAUAUAAAAUAUUUAAUAUAAAAUAUUUAAUCACUUACAAUAAAAAAAAUGAAAUCUAAAAUGUAUAAUGAUGAUUUUUUUUUUUAUAUUCUAUAUUCAUACAUAGCUUAUUUUAUAAAAUAUAACUAUAUAUAUCAUAUCAUAUUAUAGAGAAAUAAGCUUGUGAAUUUUUUUUUACUAUUCCAUGAAACUAUUUAUAAUUCCAUUACGUACGAAAUACAUCUGACAAAACCUAUAGUUUUAAUAAUAUUUUUAGCAUGUAAUAAAAUUGGAUAAAAUAUUAAGGUAUAAAAUUCACUCUAAACUAUUUUUUUUAAAUAUUAAAAAAAUAGCACACUGUAAAAAAAAAAAUCUCACAAGCACGUGAACAGUGCAAGAAAACUGCAUUGUUCACUAUUUUUCAAUGAACAGUAUACGCAAUACACUGUUCAUGUUAAUUGCACUUUUCAUUGAACAGUGCAAUUAACAUGAACAGUUGCUUUUCACCUCUGGCCACUGUCGGAAAGUGUUUUCCUUUCUUUAACGGAAGGAAAACACUUUCCUUUCUCAAUGUUAUUAAUUUUAAGUUGACCGGAAACCACUUUCCUUUGACCACUUUCCUUUGUUGCUGCCAAACACAGGAAAAGCAGGAAAGUGAAUUCCGGGAAUUCACUUUCCUGCAAUCAAACACAGCCUUGAUUAACCACCACCACCACAACUCAGCCCUGAAUGCCACCAUGAGCCACCAUAAAAAUUGAAUCACUACAUCACAUCGAAAGAGAAAAAGAAGAGAGAAACAACAAAGAUCACAAUUCUUCUCAACCCAAUCUUCGAUCAUGAGUGAUGGUGGAUUACAUUAUGGGUGUAGAAAAGAAAAAGAAGAAGAAGAAGAUGCCAUAAUCUAUUAACCCAUAAGCCUUCCCACUUUGCCGACACAUGCAACGAUUCUCCAUAAUCUAGCUUGUUUGUCUACAUGUGCAACCCAUACGUCUCCACUGCCAGACCAAUUUUCAGUGCUUUCUAGUCAACUCUAGC